ACGUCCCGGUUUAAGCGUGUAGGCGUGCCCCUUAGGCAAAUCCGGGGGGCUAAGCUGAGGCGUGAUGACGAGGAACCACGGUUCCGAAGUGAUUGAUACCAAGCUUCCAGGAAAAGCCACUAAGCUUCAGUCUAGAGCUGACCGUACCGCAAACCGACACAGGUGGGCAGGAUGAAAAUUCUAAGGCGCUUGAGAGAACUCAGGAGAAGGAACUCGGCAAAUUAACACCGUAACUUCGGGAGAAGGUGUGCCCCGGUAGCGUGUAGAGACUUGCUCUCGAAGCGCGAUGGGGUUGCAGUGAAAUGGUGGCUGCGACUGUUUAAUAAAAACACAGCACUCUGCAAACACGAAAGUGGACGUAUAGGGUGUGACGCCUGCCCGGUGCCGGAAGGUUAAGUGAUGGGGUGCAAGCUCUUGAUCGAAGCCCCGGUAAACGGCGGCCGUAACAAUAACGGUCCUAAGGUAGCGAAAUUCCUUGUCGGGUAAGUUCCGACCUGCACGAAUGGCGUAACGAUGGCCACACUGUCUCCUCCUGGGACUCAGCGAAGUUGAAAUGUUUGUGAAGAUGCAAUCUACCCGCGGCUAGACGGAAAGACCCCAUGAACCUUUACUGUAGCUUUGCAUUGGACUUUGAACCGGUUUGUGUAGGAUAGGUGGGAGACUGUGAAGCCGGGACGCUAGUUUCGGUGGAGUCAACCUUGAAAUACCACCCUGAUUUGUUUGAGGUUCUAACCUUGGUCCGUGAAUCCGGAUCGGGGACCGUGCAUGGUAGGCAGUUUGACUGGGGCGGUCUCCUCCCAAAAGGUAACGGAGGAGUACGAAGGUACGCUUAGGGCGGUCGGACAUCGCCCACAAAGUGCAAUGGCAAAAGCGUGCUUGACUGCGAGACCCACAACUCGAGCAGGUACGAAAGUAGGUCAUAGUGAUCCGGUGGUUCUGUAUGGAAGGGCCAUCGCUCAACGGAUAAAAGGUACUCUGGGGAUAACAGGCUAAUUCCUCCCAAGAGUUCAUAUCGACGGGGGAGUUUGGCACCUCGAUGUCGGCUCAUCACAUCCUGGGGCUGUAGUCGGCCCCAAGGGUAUGGCUGUUCGCCAUUUAAAGUGGUACGCGAGCUGGGUUUAAAACGUCGUGAGACAGUUUGGUCCCUAUCUGCCGUGGGCGCUGGAAAAUUUGAAGGGGGCUGCUCCUAGUACGAGAGGACCGGAGUGGACGAACCUCUGGUGUACCGGUUAUGACGCCAGUCGUAUCGCCGGGUAGCUAAGUUCGGAAGAGAUAAACGCUGAAAGCAUCUAAGCGUGAAACUCGCCUUAAGAUAAGAUUUCCCGGAGUCUUGAACUCCCUGAAGGGUCGUCGAAGACCACGACGUUGAUAGGUCAGGUGUGGAAGCGCAGCAAUGCGUUAAGCUAACUGAUACUAAUUGCCCGUGUGGCUUGAUCU
RNAcentral lists this ribosomal RNA (1437 nucleotides) under metagenome. Its description in RNAcentral is "bacterial LSU rRNA". It matches the Rfam family "Bacterial large subunit ribosomal RNA", at positions 1502 to 2925 of the family's 2925-position model. The record is from RNAcentral.